This 757-nucleotide long non-coding RNA is filed under the name Ananas comosus (pineapple). RNAcentral describes it as "long non-coding RNA (ACOM_LNC036551)". The record is from RNAcentral. Lineage: Eukaryota; Viridiplantae; Streptophyta; Magnoliopsida; Poales; Bromeliaceae.
UCCACUGACAGUUUUCUUGCAGGCAUAGUAUUAGCAUUAGCAUUGGUUACAGUUUCCUUUUCUUUGAAAUACUUAUGCCUGAAUAGACCUAGCGGGUAAGUCGGCGAGGUCGGUUGCCGAACCCACUGGAAACUUCGUUGCAGUUCUCACAACUAAUCUUACAGGUCCUAGCACGAGCGGCGUGGCGGAGAACUAUGGCAAGGAUAUUGCGCCAUAGCUAGUGGCCACCGGGACUUAUGCAUUUUGUAGUCAUUCCUUUUGUAUACAUGUAUCAACUUCUUUUGUUGAUUUAGAGAUGUAAAGUUGUAAACAAUCAUGUAUUUUUGGUGGAUGGCUAAAAUGUAAAGAAUUAUGUUGAAUGGAAAAAGAAUGUAAUAGUUGUAGUUUACUUUUAUUUGGUUCAAAUGUAAUCAAGUAUUAUGUAUGGUUGUAUGUAUUAGCUUAGAGCUUUCGCUUCCGUUGUUGCUUGCUCUCGUGCAAACCUUGUAUAAUUGCAAAUCUCCUUAUUUGAUUGCUUUAUUAUACUUGUUGUUAGAGCCUUGGGCGGGCAGGGGAGGCCCUGUCCGUUCGGCGUCUGUUGACAUGCCCGAACCCGACCAAAUUGGCGGGGAGCGGGGCAUGACAGCCCAAGAGGCCUAAUAAGUUUUAAAUGAACAAAAACCCAAUAAAAUCUAAUAUUCCCCCAUAUGAUUUAAAACUUAAAAUAAAGAAAGUAAAUAAAAUGAAAUUCAAAACAACUUAAAAGAAUGCUGGAUCU